CAAAGUCCGUCGUCAGAGAUAACAGUUGAUUGCAAACCCAUUCCCAAAGUUUUGAUACCCUGAUCAUGAAUACUGUUUACAUCUAUAACAUUCGAUCCCAAAAUGUUUUUAAGUUUUCCAGGUUUAGCCAUUACUUUAUGAGCUAAAUAAUGCCUAGGUUUACUUGGACGAUGAAUAUCACGAAAACCGCAAGAUGAAACAUUUUGGUAUAGACUUCCUCCAAAAUAUACAUUAAGGACUUGACAACCACGACAUAUUCCAAGGAUAGGGAUUUUUUUUUUGAGGGCAAAAUCAAUCAUUCCCCAUUCUGUGGAAUCUCUUAUCACAUCGACACUUUUGGGAGCAUUUGGAUCAAAAUCUUCUCCGUAUCGGUUUGGAUGCACCGAUUCACCACCAGCUAGUAUUAUACCAUCUAUAUUAGGUGGGAUACUGUUUCUUUGUAAUCCAGGAUAUAUGACAAUUGGACAACCACCUGCCUUGAUAAUUGCUUCUACAUACGGCUGUGAGUU
Molecule: non-coding RNA, 509 nt
Organism: Schizosaccharomyces pombe (fission yeast)
Lineage: Eukaryota; Fungi; Ascomycota; Schizosaccharomycetes; Schizosaccharomycetales; Schizosaccharomycetaceae
Source: the annotation of a GenBank genome assembly